Molecule: small nucleolar RNA, 110 nt
Filed under: Neotoma lepida (desert woodrat)
Lineage: Eukaryota; Metazoa; Chordata; Mammalia; Rodentia; Cricetidae
Description: Small nucleolar RNA U3
Rfam family: Small nucleolar RNA U3
About the family: Small nucleolar RNAs (snoRNAs) are involved in the processing and modification of rRNA in the nucleolus. There are two main classes of snoRNAs: the box C/D class, and the box H/ACA class. U3 snoRNA is a member of the box C/D class.
Source: Rfam by way of RNAcentral
AAGACUAUACUUUCAGGGAUCAUUUCUAUAGUUCCUUACCAGAGAAAUUUCUCUGACUGUACAGAGAACCCAAGUGCAGCAAGGAGGUUGUGAUGGCUAUUCUUGGUUGU